RNAcentral lists this ribosomal RNA (467 nucleotides) under uncultured bacterium. RNAcentral's name for it is "partial 16S ribosomal RNA". It matches the Rfam family "Bacterial small subunit ribosomal RNA", at positions 29 to 507 of the family's 1533-position model. The record is from RNAcentral.
ACGCACGCUGGCGGCGUGCUUCACCCCUGCCAGUCGCACGGAAAGGCCCUGCUUUUGUGGGGUGCUCGAGUGGCGAACGGGUGAGUAACACGUGAGUAACCUGCCCUUGACUUUGGGAUAACUUCAGGAAGCUGGGGCUAAUACCGGAUAGGAGCUCCUGCUGCAUGGUGGGGGUUGGAAAGUUUCGGCGGUUGGGGAUGGACUCGCGGCUUAUCAGCUUGUUGGUGGGGUAGUGGCUUACCAAGGCUUUGACGGGUAGCCGGCCUGAGAGGGUGACCGGCCACAUUGGGACUGAGAUACGGCCCAGACUCCUACGGGAGGCAGCAGUGGGGAAUAUUGCACAAUGGGCGGAAGCCUGAUGCAGCAACGCCGCGUGCGGGAUGACGGCCUUCGGGUUGUAAACCGCUUUCGCCUGUGACGAAGCGUGAGUGACGGUAAUGGGUAAAGAAGCACCGGCUAACUACGUG